This 491-nucleotide ribosomal RNA is filed under the name uncultured bacterium. RNAcentral describes it as "partial 16S ribosomal RNA". It matches the Rfam family "Bacterial small subunit ribosomal RNA", at positions 30 to 508 of the family's 1533-position model. The record is from RNAcentral.
AUUGAACGCUGGCGGCACGCUUUACACAUGCAAGUCGAACGGCAGCACGAAAGAGCUUGCUCUUUUGGUGGCGAGUGGCGAACGGGUGAGUAAUGCAUCGGAACGUACCGAGUAAUGGGGGAUAACUGUCCGAAAGGAUAGCUAAUACCGCAUACGCUUUGAGAAGGAAAGUGGGGGCUCUUCGGACCUCACGUUAUUCGAGCGGCCGAUGUCUGAUUAGCUAGUUGGUGGGGUAAAGGCCUACCAAGGCGACGAUCAGUAGCGGGUCUGAGAGGAUGAUCCGCCACACUGGGACUGAGACACGGCCCAGACUCCUACGGGAGGCAGCAGUGGGGAAUUUUGGACAAUGGGCGCAAGCCUGAUCCAGCCAUGCCGCGUGUCUGAAGAAGGCCUUCGGGUUGUAAAGGACUUUUGUUAGGGAAGAAAAGGAUAGUGUUAAUACCAUUAUCUGCUGACGGUACCUAAAGAAUAAGCACCGGCUAACUACGUGC